GUAGGGAAUAUUGGACAAUGGGGGCAACCCUGAUCCAGCGACGCCGCGUGAGUGAUGAAGGCCUUCGGGUUGUAAAGCUCUUUCAGUGGGGACGAUAAUGACGGUACCCACAGAAGAAGCCCCGGCUAACUUCGUGCCAGCAGCCGCGGUAAUACGAAGGGGGCUAGCGUUGUUCGGAAUCACUGGGCGUAAAGCGCACGUAGGCGGACGUUUAAGUCAGAGGUGAAAGCCUGGAGCUCAACUUCAGAACUGCCUUUGAUACUGAACGUCUCGAGUCCGGGAGAGGUGAGUGGAACUGCUAGUGUAGAGGUGAAAUUCGUAGAUAUUAGCAAGAACACCAGUGGCGAAGGCGGCUCACUGGCCCGGUACUGACGCUGAGGUGCGAAAGCGUGGGGAGCAAACAGGAUUAGAAACCCCAGUAGUCC
This 425-nucleotide ribosomal RNA is filed under the name uncultured bacterium. Its description in RNAcentral is "partial 16S ribosomal RNA". It matches the Rfam family "Bacterial small subunit ribosomal RNA", at positions 354 to 796 of the family's 1533-position model. The record is from RNAcentral.